UCCGACCUCAGAUCGAACGAGAAUACCCGCUGAAUUUAAGCAUAUUAAUAAGCGGAGGAAAAGAAACUAACGAGGAUUC
Molecule: ribosomal RNA, 79 nt
Filed under: Gordius sp. NZ2016
Lineage: Eukaryota; Metazoa; Nematomorpha; Gordioida; Gordea; Gordiidae
Description: partial 28S ribosomal RNA
Rfam family: Eukaryotic large subunit ribosomal RNA
Source: RNAcentral